Molecule: ribosomal RNA, 497 nt
Filed under: uncultured bacterium
Lineage: Bacteria
Description: partial 16S ribosomal RNA
Rfam family: Bacterial small subunit ribosomal RNA
Source: RNAcentral
GAUGAACGCUGGCGGCGUGCCUAAUACAUGCAAGUCGAGCGAACAGACGAGGAGCUUGCUCCUCUGACGUUAGCGGCGGACGGGUGAGUAACACGUGGAUAACCCACCUAUAAGACUGGGAUCACCUCGGGAAACCGGAGCUAAUACCGGAUAAUAUAUUGAACCGCAUGGUUCAAUAGUGAAAGACGGCUUUGCUGUCACUUAUAGAUGGAUCCGCGCUGCAUUAGCUAGUUGGUAAGGUAACGGCUUACCAAGGCGACGAUGCGUAGCCGACCUGAGAGAGUGAUCGGCCACACUGGAGCUGAGACGCGGUCCAGACUCCUACGGGAGGCAGCAGUAGGGAAUCUUCCGCAGUGGGCGAAAGCCUGACGGAGCAACGCCGCGUGAGUGAUGAAGGUCUUCGGAUCGUAAAACUCUGUUAUUAGGGAAGAACAAAUGUGUAAGUAACUAUGCACGUCUUGACGGUACCUAAUCAGAAAGCCACGGCUAACUACGUG